ACACGACUACAUUAGAUACCCGGGUAGUCCCAGCCCUAAACGAUGCGCGUUAGGUGUAUCGGUGACCACGAGUCACCGAGGUGCCGAAGGGAAACCGUGAAACGUGCCGCCUGGGAAGUACGGUCGCAAGGCUGAAACUUAAAGGAAUUGGCGGGGAGCACCACAAGAGGUGGAGGCUGCGGUUCAAUUGGACUCAACGCCGGGAAGCUCACCGGAUAAGACAGCGGAAUGAUUGCCGGGCUGAAGACCCUGCAUGACCAGCUG
Molecule: ribosomal RNA, 264 nt
Filed under: uncultured archaeon
Lineage: Archaea
Description: partial 16S ribosomal RNA
Rfam family: Archaeal small subunit ribosomal RNA
Source: RNAcentral